UGUGUGUAUGUGUGUAUGUAUGUGUAUAUAUUUAUAUAUAUAAAUAUAUAUACAUAUAUAUAUAUAUAUAUAUAUAUAUAUAUAUAUAUAUACACGGCGUGUGUGUUUGUGCUUUAGUGUGCACACCCUUAUACAUUAGGCUGCGCACGCCUAUGGCAACCCCAUAGUUGCGCAGGAACUUUGUUGACUCUAGAGAACCUCGGGCAAAUCGCACAUCCCCGUGACGGCGACUUUGCAUGUGGAUGUCAUCCAUAUCAACUUUCAAUGCCAGUUUCUGCACCUACUAUGGUGACCACGGGUAACAAUAAAUCAGGGUUCCAUUCCGUACAGGGACCCUGAGAAACGGCUACCACAUGCAAGGAAGGCAGCAGGCGCGCAAAUGACACUCCCAACGCGGGAAGGUAGUGACGACAAUUAACAAUACAGGACUCUUUAGAGGCAUAGUAAUUGUAAUGAGUCCACUUGAAAUCCUUUAACUCUGAUCAACUGGAGGGAAGUCUGGUGCAGAGCCACUGAACCAUGGGUGCUGCAGCUGAAACUCCACU
This is a non-coding RNA of Pelobates cultripes (western spadefoot toad), 545 nucleotides long. Lineage: Eukaryota; Metazoa; Chordata; Amphibia; Anura; Pelobatidae. The record is from the annotation of a GenBank genome assembly.